GCGGCUACGGGAGGCUGUGACACGCGGUCCGCAAUCUGGUCGCCGGGGCCGCGCAUAGCCAAUGGCGAGACCGACCCGCGAGCGA
Molecule: non-coding RNA, 85 nt
Filed under: unclassified sequences
Description: c-di-GMP sequence
Rfam family: c-di-GMP-II-GAG riboswitch aptamer
Source: Rfam by way of RNAcentral